GGGGCUGUAACUCAGUGGCAGAGAGCAUGCCUCACACGUGUGAGGCACUGGGUUUGAUCCUCAGCACCACA
RNAcentral lists this transfer RNA (71 nucleotides) under Marmota monax (woodchuck). RNAcentral describes it as "tRNA.Val". Lineage: Eukaryota; Metazoa; Chordata; Mammalia; Rodentia; Sciuridae. The record is from RNAcentral.